UACGUAGGGUGCAAGCGUUGUCCGGAAUUACUGGGCGUAAAGCGUGCGCAGGCGGUUGUGCAAGACAGAUGUGAAAUCCCCGGGCUUAACCUGGGAACUGCAUUUGUGACUGCACAGCUGGAGUGCGGCAGAGGGGGAUGGAAUUCCGCGUGUAGCAGUGAAAUGCGUAGAUAUGCGGAGGAACACCGAUGGCGAAGGCAAUCCCCUGGGCCUGCACUGACGCUCAUGCACGAAAGCGUGGGGAGCAAACAGG
RNAcentral lists this ribosomal RNA (253 nucleotides) under uncultured bacterium. Its description in RNAcentral is "partial 16S ribosomal RNA". It matches the Rfam family "Bacterial small subunit ribosomal RNA", at positions 524 to 776 of the family's 1533-position model. The record is from RNAcentral.